AUUGAACGCUGGCGGCAGGCCUAACACAUGCAAGUCGAACGGUAACAGGAAGAAGCUUGCUUCUUUGCUGACGAGUGGCGGACGGGUGAGUAAUGUCUGGGAAACUGCCUGAUGGAGGGGGAUAACUACUGGAAACGGUAGCUAAUACCGCAUAACGUCGCAAGACCAAAGAGGGGGACCUUCGGGCCUCUUGCCAUCGGAUGUGCCCAGAUGGGAUUAGCUAGUAGGUGGGGUAACGGCUCACCUAGGCGACGAUCCCUAGCUGGUCUGAGAGGAUGACCAGCCACACUGGAACUGAGACACGGUCCAGGCUCCUACGGGAGGCAGCAGUGGGGAAUAUUGCACAAUGGGCGCAAGCCUGAUGCAGCCAUGCGGCGUGUAUGAAGAAGGCCUUCGGGUUGUAAAGUACUUUCAGCGGGGAGGAAGGGAGUAAAGUUAAUACCUUUACUCAUUGACGUUACCCGCAGAAGAAGCACCGGCUAACUCCGUGC
This 491-nucleotide ribosomal RNA is filed under the name uncultured bacterium. RNAcentral describes it as "partial 16S ribosomal RNA". It matches the Rfam family "Bacterial small subunit ribosomal RNA", at positions 30 to 508 of the family's 1533-position model. The record is from RNAcentral.